Molecule: small nuclear RNA, 189 nt
Filed under: Ovis aries (sheep)
Lineage: Eukaryota; Metazoa; Chordata; Mammalia; Artiodactyla; Bovidae
Description: 7SK RNA
Rfam family: 7SK RNA
About the family: 7SK was discovered as an abundant small nuclear RNA in the mid-70s but a possible function has only recently been suggested. Two independent studies have found that 7SK RNA binds the CDK9/cyclin T complex (known as elongation factor P-TEFb). P-TEFb activates transcription by phosphorylating the C-terminal domain of RNA polymerase II.
Source: Rfam by way of RNAcentral
GAGUAUGAGAGUGAUCUGGUUGCAACAUCUGUCAUGCCAUUGAUUGCCAGGCUAGCUUUAUUAGUUCUGGCUGGCUAGGCAAGUGUCUCCUUUCUUCCUUACCUUUCCAGAUACAUCUCUUCCUUGACAUACAUCUGUCAAGGAAGGCAUGAUUCUCUAAUAAAGUAGACCAUUCUUCAAAGAAGGCUU